AGCAGCCGCGGUAAUUCCAGCUCCAAUAGCGUAUAUUAAAGUUGUUGCAGUUAAAAAGCUCGUAGUUGAAUUUCGGGAUCAAUACGUCGGUCGUGCUUAGGUACGUACUGGCGUAAUUGAUUUCUCCCUUCUGACGAACCAUGAUGUCAUUAACUUGGUGUCAUGGGAAAUCAGGACUGUUACUUUGAAAAAUUAGAGUGUUUAAAGCAGGCUCACGCUUGAAUACAUUAGCAUGGAAUAAUGAAAUAGGACGUUCGAUCCUAUUUUGUUGGUUUUUAGGAUCAACGUAAUGAUUAAUAGGGAUAGUUGGGGGCAUUAGUAUUCAAUUGUCAGAGGUGAAAUUCUUGGAUUUAUUGAAGACUAACUACUGCGAAAGCAUUUGCCAAGGAUGUUUUCAUUAAUCAAGAACGAAAGUUAGGGGAUCGAAGACGAUCAGAUACCGUCGUAGUCUUAACCAUAAACUAUGCCGACUAGGGAUCGGAUGAUGUUAAUUUUUUAAUGACUCAUUCGGCGCCUUAAC
Molecule: unclassified non-coding RNA, 520 nt
Filed under: uncultured Glomus
Lineage: Eukaryota; Fungi; Glomeromycota; Glomeromycetes; Glomerales; Glomeraceae
Description: SSU rRNA
Rfam family: Eukaryotic small subunit ribosomal RNA
Source: RNAcentral